UCUCUCUAUUGUUCUAUCAUUGUAUCUCUAUUGUUUGAUAUCUGUUAAGGUUUAUCAAAUUCAUCUAGAUUUGGUCAAGUUACUAUGAUUCAAACACUGAAUCAAAUUCAUCUAUUGUUUGAUAUUGUUCUAUCACUGUACCAGACCACAAAGAAGAGGGUAAGUGGACCCAAGUGUCCUAUAAUUGGCAAGAGGAUCCAAGGGGUAUGUUGUUUAAAAAGAUUUUCAAUUUUGUUUAUUGGGUUUUCUUUAAAGUGUAGAGAUCUGAGCAUGUGUUUUGCUUUGAUGAUGUGAUUGAAUGUGUGGAAAUAGUUGGAAAUGUUGAGUUUUUGAGAGGAAUCUGAUUGGUGUUAUUGAUAAUUAUUGGUAAAUAUAAAAAAUUAUUGAGACCCAGUUGAUUUUUUGUUGUCAAUUAGUGUUUAUGAGUAUUGUUGAGUGGAUUUGGAGAUCGUUAAGUAGGAAUGAUUAAGUUAUCUGUAAGGAAACAGUAGUGGAUUGGAGUGAUUGGGAAUGGGAAUGGGAAUGGUAUUUAUUUUAAAAAAAUCAUUACUAUGAUUCAACCUCACUAACUAUCAUGGGAUUGGGAUUUAUUAUUUAAACUACUUAAAUUUUUUACACAUUGCCUCCUCUGAAAACUACUUGUCAAGUUUGUGGUCACAUUUUUUUUUUUUUUUUUUAUGAAAGGAUUGUGGUCACAUAUAGUCACAUAUAAUCAAUGUUGAUCUACUUUGCAUUUCUUUCAGAGUGGUCCUGAUAUCAAUGUAGAAUUGCUCUUUAUCUUUCUUUCUUUUUUUGACAUGCAAUGGGGUUGGUUGGAUAUUUUGAGAGAGAAUUGCAACAAUGAGUUUGAGAAGCUGAGCCUAAACAGGAGACCCGACCCAAGCUUUGCCUCUAUCUCUUGGCAGAGGACCCAGCUCUAAAGCAAUUCAAAUCCCAUAAGAAGAGUGUGAGUGGUUUUUUAUUGUUUGUUGUUGUUGUUUGAUUGCAGCAAAGUUUUAGGAAUACAAAGGCACAGCACUUGUUAGUGGUUGAACCCGAUUGCUUUGUUCAAGGGCAUGAUGGUGAAGAUGCCUUGUUACUAAGAUUUGGUGAGUGGUGACAUAUAUAGAAGAGCAAAUUGCAGUAGUACUAUUGGGAAGAUACAUGAUCUCAAUCCCUGUUGGUGAAAUAAUUAAGUGUACACAUAGCGGAGAUCAAGGCUGAUUUCCCUUUUCAUGUAACCGAUGAUGUUAUUCAAAAGCAGCACAUGGAGAAAUUCUGCAGCUAGUUUAGGAACUAUGUUUCAAGAUUGCAAGAGCAGUUGCAAGCUGAAAGAGAUCUUAGAGCUGCACUCGAAGUCGGUUUGAGAAUGUUUUCUGGACAAUUUUCUAGUUCAUGUGGCAUGGAUUCUAAGACAAGGGCUGAGCUAGAGGAGAUUGCACUUGCCGAAGCAGAUGUGGCCAGGUUGAAGCAGAAAUUUGCAGAAUGAGUGACCACUACUGAGUAUACUAUUACCAAUAGGCGUGGAGUUGGGACUACUGGUUCUUCUUGCAAAAGUGUACCAAGGGCAUCUUCUUGCAAAAGUAUUUAAGGAUUUGUUUAAAUACUUUGGAACUUUGAUAAUGGUUAUAGACAAUGUUAUAUGUAUUUAAUAAUAUAUUUCUAUGUUAAUAUUACAUUAGU
Quercus lobata is the source of this 1662-nucleotide long non-coding RNA. RefSeq lists it as uncharacterized. Lineage: Eukaryota; Viridiplantae; Streptophyta; Magnoliopsida; Fagales; Fagaceae. The transcript is spliced from 7 exons. The record is from RefSeq and is a predicted model, not a curated record.